Molecule: ribosomal RNA, 253 nt
Filed under: uncultured bacterium
Lineage: Bacteria
Description: partial 16S ribosomal RNA
Rfam family: Bacterial small subunit ribosomal RNA
Source: RNAcentral
UACGUAGGGUGCAAGCGUUAAUCGGAAUUACUGGGCGUAAAGCGUGCGCAGGCGGUUUUGUAAGUCUGACGUGAAAUCCCCGGGCUCAACCUGGGAAUUGCGUUGGAGACUGCAAGGCUAGAAUCUGGCAGAGGGGGAUAGAAUUCCACGUGUAGCAGUGAAAUGCGUAGAGAUGUGGAGGAACACCGAUGGCGAAGGCAGCCCCCUGGGUCAAGAUUGACGCUCAUGCACGAAAGCGUGGGGAGCGAACAGG